RNAcentral lists this ribosomal RNA (252 nucleotides) under uncultured bacterium. RNAcentral's name for it is "partial 16S ribosomal RNA". It matches the Rfam family "Bacterial small subunit ribosomal RNA", at positions 524 to 776 of the family's 1533-position model. The record is from RNAcentral.
UACGUAGGUACCGAGCGUUGUCCGGAUUUAUUGGGUUUAAAGGGUGCGUAGGCGGACUGUCAAGUCAGCGGUAAAAUUGAGAGGCUCAACCUCUUCCCGCCGUUGAAACUGGUGGUCUUGAGUGGAUGAGAAGUACGCGGAAUGCGUGGUGUAGCGGUGAAAUGCAUAGAUAUCACGCAGAACUCCGAUUGCGAAGGCAGCGUACCGGCAUCCAACUGACGCUGAGGCACGAAAGCGUGGGGAUCAAACAGG